Molecule: regulatory RNA element, 87 nt
Rfam family: c-di-GMP-I riboswitch aptamer
About the family: GEMM was predicted in a large-scale screen for bacterial structured RNA regulatory elements. Genes associated with GEMM are involved in a diverse array of functions, including chemotaxis regulation, signal transduction, secretion and chitin.
Source: Rfam
UCCGACAAAGGGCAAACUUGCCGAAAGGUAAGGACGCAAAGCCGAGGGUCUAAAGUGCGAGAGCAUUAUGACAGUCUGGCUGCCGUA